Molecule: ribosomal RNA, 648 nt
Filed under: uncultured Bacilli bacterium
Lineage: Bacteria; Bacillati; Bacillota; Bacilli
Description: bacterial SSU rRNA
Rfam family: Bacterial small subunit ribosomal RNA
Source: RNAcentral
CGAACGCUGGCGGCGUGCCUAAUACAUGCAAGUCGAGCGAAACUUUCUUACACCGAAUGCUUGCAUUCACCGUAAGAAGUUGAGUGGCGGACGGGUGAGUAACACGUGGGUAACCUGCCUAAAAGAAGGGGAUAACACUUGGAAACAGGUGCUAAUACCGUAUAUCUCUAAGGAUCGCAUGAUUCUUAGAUGAAAGAUGGUUCUGCUAUCGCUUUUAGAUGGACCCGCGGCGUAUUAACUAGUUGGUGGGGUAACGGCCUACCAAGGUGAUGAUACGUAGCCGAACUGAGAGGUUGAUCGGCCACAUUGGGACUGAGACACGGCCCAAACUCCUACGGGAGGCAGCAGUAGGGAAUCUUCCACAAUGGACGCAAGUCUGAUGGAGCAACGCCGCGUGAGUGAAGAAGGUCUUCGGAUCGUAAAACUCUGUUGUUAGAGAAGAACACGAGUGAGAGUAACUGUUCAUUCGAUGACGGUAUCUAACCAGCAAGUCACGGCUAACUACGUGCCAGCAGCCGCGGUAAUACGUAGGUGGCAAGCGUUGUCCGGAUUUAUUGGGCGUAAAGGGAACGCAGGCGGUCUUUUAAGUCUGAUGUGAAAGCCUUCGGCUUAACCGGAGUAGUGCAUUGGAAACUGGAAGACUUGAGU